UUGCUUCGGCAGCACAAAUACUAAAAUUGGAACGAUACAGAGAAGAUUAGCUUGGCCCCUGCGCAAGGAUGACAUGCAAAUUCAUGAAGCGUUCCAUAAGGGG
RNAcentral lists this small nuclear RNA (103 nucleotides) under Chelonoidis abingdonii (Abingdon island giant tortoise). Lineage: Eukaryota; Metazoa; Chordata; Testudines; Testudinidae. The record is from RNAcentral.